GCCCUGGUCUUGGUCCUGGUCCUGGCCCUGGUCCUGGCCCUGGUCCUGGCCCUGGUCCGGGCCCGGGCCCAGGC
Molecule: microRNA precursor, 74 nt
Filed under: Chinchilla lanigera (long-tailed chinchilla)
Lineage: Eukaryota; Metazoa; Chordata; Mammalia; Rodentia; Chinchillidae
Description: miRNA (ENSCLAG00000021076.1)
Source: RNAcentral